GAUGAACGCUGGCGGCGUGCCUAAUACAUGCAAGUCGAGCGAACGGACGAGAAGCUUGCUUCUCUGAUGUUAGCGGCGGACGGGUGAGUAACACGUGGAUAACCUACCUAUAAGACUGGGAUAACUUCGGGAAACCGGAGCUAAUACCGGAUGAUAUUUUGAACCGCAUGGUUCAAAAGUGAAAGACGGUCUUGCUGUCACUUAUAGAUGGAUCCGCGCUGCAUUAGCUAGUUGGUAAGGUAACGGCUUACCAAGGCAACGAUGCAUAGCCGACCUGAGAGGGUGAUCGGCCACACUGGAACUGAGACACGGUCCAGACUCCUACGGGAGGCAGCAGUAGGGAAUCUUCCGCAAUGGGCGAAAGCCUGACGGAGCAACGCCGCGUGAGUGAUGAAGGUCUUCGGAUCGUAAAGCUCUGUUAUUAGUGAAGAACAUAUGUGUAAGUAACUGUGCACAUCUUGACGGUACCUAAUCAGAAAGCCACGGCUAACUACGUG
Molecule: ribosomal RNA, 497 nt
Filed under: uncultured bacterium
Lineage: Bacteria
Description: partial 16S ribosomal RNA
Rfam family: Bacterial small subunit ribosomal RNA
Source: RNAcentral